AACGCGAAGAACCUUACCUAGGCUUGAAAAGCUUAUGACCGGCUGUGAAAGCAGCUUUCCCGCAAGGGCAUAAGUACAGGUGCUGCAUGGCUGUCGUCAGCUCGUGCCGUGAGGUAUUGGGUUAAGUCCCGCAACGAGCGCAACCCUUACCAUUAGUUGCCACCGGAGCAAUCCGAGCACUCUAAUGGAACUGCCUACGCAAGUAGUGAGGAAGGUGAGGAUGACGUCAAGUCCGCAUGGCCCUUACGCCUAGGGCUACACACGUGCUACAAUGGCCGCCACAACGGGCAGCAAAAUCGCGAGAUGGAGCGAAUCCCUAAAAAGCGGCCUCAGUUCGGAUUGGAGUCUGCAACUCGACUCCAUGAAGUUGGAAUUGCUAGUAAUCGCGUAUCAGCAUGACGCGGUGAAUACGUUCCCGGGCCUUGUACACACCGCCCGUAAUCAC
Molecule: ribosomal RNA, 445 nt
Filed under: bacterium enrichment culture DGGE band 17(2012)
Lineage: Bacteria
Description: bacterial SSU rRNA
Rfam family: Bacterial small subunit ribosomal RNA
Source: RNAcentral